This 329-nucleotide ribosomal RNA is filed under the name uncultured eukaryote. Its description in RNAcentral is "partial 18S ribosomal RNA". It matches the Rfam family "Eukaryotic small subunit ribosomal RNA", at positions 1470 to 1796 of the family's 1831-position model. The record is from RNAcentral.
CCCUUAGAUGUUCUGGGCCGCACGCGCGCUACACUGAUGCAUUCCACGAGUCUAAAACCUGCUCUGAUAGGGGUGGGUAAUCUUUUGAAUGUGCAUCGUGAUUGGGAUAGAUGAUUGCAAUUUUUCAUCUUCAACGAGGAAUGCCUAGUAAACGCAAGUCAUCAGCUUGCAUUGAUUACGUCCCUGCCCUUUGUACACACCGCCCGUCGCUCCUACCGAUUGAAUGAUCCGAUGAAUAUCAUGGAUUGAGGAUGCAAGUAGGUUCGCCUAUCUUCAUCUUCGAGAAGUGAAGUAAAUCUUAUCAUUUAGAGGAAGGAGAAGUCGUAACA